CCCCAUCGCACAUGGUUUUUAUCAUCAAUUGCGAAAGCCUUAAUAUUAGUUUGCCAUACGUUUUUCAUGAAGACAUCAAUAUUCAUUUUAAACACGUCACAGUUCUCUCGCCGCUAUCAGAACCCUACUCCUCGUUGCUAGCGAACUACAAAACGGACGAUCCCUCUGCCAGCACGUUAAUGCCUACGUUGCCGAGGAAACUAAUGCGUGCUGAAUCCGAGUAUUCUAAGGAAGCCGAACGGUAUCCGGUGAGGUGAUAAACUUUUUGGCCGGAGCUGUACAUGAACUCCGGCGCCGCCAUCUUGUACAGUCAUGCGCAGAACGAUCGUUGUGCGACACAAUAAAAC
This 347-nucleotide long non-coding RNA is filed under the name Androctonus crassicauda. Lineage: Eukaryota; Metazoa; Arthropoda; Arachnida; Scorpiones; Buthidae. The record is from RNAcentral.